RNAcentral lists this ribosomal RNA (500 nucleotides) under uncultured bacterium. Its description in RNAcentral is "partial 16S ribosomal RNA". It matches the Rfam family "Bacterial small subunit ribosomal RNA", at positions 29 to 523 of the family's 1533-position model. The record is from RNAcentral.
AUUGAACGCUGGCGGCAGGCUUAACACAUGCAAGUCGAGCGGGGUGAUGGUGCUUGCACCGCUGACGAGUGGCGAACGGGUGAGUAAUGCGUCGGAACGUGCCGAGUAGUGGGGGAUAACGCAGCGAAAGUUGUGCUAAUACCGCAUACGUACUGAGGUAGAAAGUGGGGGACCUUCGGGCCUCACGCUAUUCGAGCGGCCGACGUCUGAUUAGCUAGUAGGUGAGGUAAAGGCUCACCUAGGCGACGAUCAGUAGCGGGGCUGAGAGGAUGGUCCGCCACACUGGGACGGAGACACGGCCCAGACUCCUACGGGAGGCAGCAGUGGGGAAUUUUGGACAAUGGGCGAAAGCCUGAUCCAGCCAUGCCGCGUGUCUGAAGAAGGCCUUCGGGUUGUAAAGGACUUUUGUCAGGGAGGAAAUCCCUAGUGCUAAUAACACUGGGGGAUGACAGUACCUGAAGAAUAAGCACCGGCUAACUACGUGCCAGCCGCCGCCGUAA